CCUUGACAUCCAGAGAACUUAGCAGAGAUGCUUUGGUGCCUUCGGGAACUCUGAGACAGGUGCUGCAUGGCUGUCGUCAGCUCGUGUUGUGAAAUGUUGGUUAAGUCCGCAACGAGCGCAACCCUUAUCCUUUGUUGCCAGCGGUUCGGCCGGGAACUCAAAGGAGACUGCCGGUGAUAAACCGGAGGAAGGUGGGGAUGACGUCAAGUCAUCAUGGCCCUUACGGCCAGGGCUACACACGUGCUACAAUGGCGCAUACAAAGAGAAGCGACCUCGCGAGAGCAAGCGGACCUCAUAAAGUGCGUCGUAGUCCGGAUUGGAGUCUGCAACUCGACUCCAUGAAGUCGGAAUCGCUAGUAAUCGUAGAUCAGAAUGCUACGGUGAAUACGUUCCCGGGCCUUGUACACACCGCCCGUCACACCAUGGGAGUGGGUUGCAAAAGAAGUAGGUAGCUUAACCUUCGGGAGGGCGCUUACCACUUUGUGAUUCAUGACUGGGGUGAAGUCGUAACAAGGUAGGCGUAGACGU
This 528-nucleotide ribosomal RNA is filed under the name uncultured bacterium. RNAcentral describes it as "bacterial SSU rRNA". It matches the Rfam family "Bacterial small subunit ribosomal RNA", at positions 979 to 1509 of the family's 1533-position model. The record is from RNAcentral.